RNAcentral lists this unclassified non-coding RNA (332 nucleotides) under soil metagenome. RNAcentral describes it as "partial contains 5.8S ribosomal RNA, internal transcribed spacer 2, and large subunit ribosomal RNA". The stretch from base 1 to 120 matches the Rfam family "5.8S ribosomal RNA", at positions 35 to 154 of the family's 154-position model. The record is from RNAcentral.
GAUGAAGAACGUAGCAAAAUGCGAUAAGUAAUGUGAAUUGCAGAAUUCAGUGAAUCAUCGAAUCUUUGAACGCACAUUGCGCCCGCCAGUAUUCUGGCGGGCAUACCUGUUCGAGCGUCAUUUCAACCCUCAAGCACAGCUUGGUGUUGGGACUCGCGUUAAUUCGCGUUCCUCAAAUUGAUUGGCGGUCACGUCGAGCUUCCAUAGCGUAGUAGUAAAACCCUCGUUACUGGUAAUCGUCGCGGCCACGCCGUUAAACCCCAACUUCUGAAUGUUGACCUCGGAUCAGGUAGGAAUACCCGCUGAACUUAAGCAUAUCAAUAAGCGGAGGA